RNAcentral lists this transfer-messenger RNA (359 nucleotides) under Clostridiales Family XVII. Incertae Sedis. RNAcentral's name for it is "Sulfobacillus_B sp012933365 Standard tmRNA". It matches the Rfam family "transfer-messenger RNA". From Rfam's summary of the family: Bacterial tmRNA, also known as 10Sa RNA or SsrA, is named for its dual tRNA and mRNA-like properties. The record is from RNAcentral. RNAcentral also lists the same sequence under 1 other name. Lineage: Bacteria; Bacillati; Bacillota; Clostridia; Eubacteriales.
GGGGGCGAACUAGAUUCGACGGGGAUGAACGGGGUGCCAGACAGCGAGCCGAGCUCUGUGACUCGUAAAACCGCAGGAAACAAUAACUGCCAACGAAUCUAACGAUUCUUUCGAAUACGCUUUAGCUGCUUAAUUCAGCUAACGUGGCCGGACUCAGCGCCUGUCCUCAUUUCGGUCACGUAAAAUAGGCAGGAUACCGCUUCAGCCGCCCGACUGAAGUUGGGAAUCUAAGGGCUGGGCUUAUCGCCGCCGCGCUUCGGACGGUGGUGGUCGGCGAGAUCAAUUCCGAAGCUACGCUCGUAGAAAUCUGGUAUAACGUGUCUUCGGACGGGACGGGCAGCACGUCCCCGCCUCCACCA